RNAcentral lists this small RNA (198 nucleotides) under Pelobates cultripes (western spadefoot toad). The record is from RNAcentral. Lineage: Eukaryota; Metazoa; Chordata; Amphibia; Anura; Pelobatidae.
GACAGAGUGAGGGAGGGGGUGACACAGUGACAGAGUGAGGGAGGGGGUGACUAGUGACAGAGUGAAGGAGGUGGUGACUAUCACUAGUCACCCCCUCCCUCUCUCUGUCACUAGUGACACCCUAGUCCUACCCCUCCCUCUCUCUGUCACUAGUCACCCCUCCCUCUCUCUGUCACUAGUCACCCCUCCCUCUCUGUC